GAUGAACGCUGGCGGCGUGCCUAAUACAUGCAAGUCGAGCGAACGGACGAGAAGCUUGCUUUUCUGAUGUUAGCGGCGGACGGGUGAGUAACACGUGGAUAACCUACCUAUAAGACUGGGAUAACUUCGGGAAACCGGAGCUAAUACCGGAUAAUAUUUUGAACCGCAUGGUUCAAAAGUGAAAGACGGUCUUGCUGUCACUUAUAGAUGGAUCCGCGCUGCAUUAGCUAGUUGGUAAGGUAACGGCUUACUAAGGCAACGAUGCAUAGCCGACCUGAGAGGGUGAUCGGCCACACUGGAACUGAGACACGGUCCAGACUCCUACGGGAGGCAGCAGUAGGGAAUCUUCCGCAAAGGGCGAAAGCCUGACGGAGCAACGCCGCGUGAGUGAUGAAGGUCUUCGGAUCGUAAAACUCUGUUAUUAGGGAAGAACAUAUGUGUAAGUAACUGUGCACAUCUUGACGGUACCUAAUCAGAAAGCCACGGCUAACUACGUG
RNAcentral lists this ribosomal RNA (497 nucleotides) under uncultured bacterium. RNAcentral's name for it is "partial 16S ribosomal RNA". It matches the Rfam family "Bacterial small subunit ribosomal RNA", at positions 28 to 507 of the family's 1533-position model. The record is from RNAcentral.